Camelina sativa (false flax) is the source of this 258-nucleotide non-coding RNA. The record is from RefSeq and is a predicted model, not a curated record. NCBI's taxonomy places the organism in Eukaryota, Viridiplantae, Streptophyta, Magnoliopsida, Brassicales, Brassicaceae.
UACAUUACCGGAAGCAGCAAGGAACAACUCGAGAAAUCUCCAUUCCUGGAGAGGCUCAUCAAGAAGGGCUAUGAGGUCAUCUUCUUCACGGACCCAGUUGAUGAAUACUUGAUGCAAUACCUGAUGGAUUACGAAGACAAAAAGUUCCAGAAUGUGUCAAAAGAAGGACUGAAGGUUGGGAAAGAUUCAAAAGCCAAGGAGCUCAAAGAAGCAUUCAAGGAGCUAACCAAGUGGUGGAAAGGAAAUCUCGCAAGCGAG